This is a long non-coding RNA of Archocentrus centrarchus (flier cichlid), 524 nucleotides long. RefSeq lists it as uncharacterized. The transcript is spliced from 3 exons. The record is from RefSeq and is a predicted model, not a curated record. NCBI's taxonomy places the organism in Eukaryota, Metazoa, Chordata, Actinopteri, Cichliformes, Cichlidae.
UUUGCGGGGCCGAGUUGAACCCGUUUUUCGGCCGAGCACCGAGUGAAAAACCCGCCUAACGGGUCAAAUAAAGGCACCGGCUCCGGAACCCUGUUGGUGGGAAAGAGGCUCAUGAGAGACUCACUCACUUCACACAACAAAUCCGACUCCACUGACCUGCAAAACCUUCCCUGCUCUCAGUUCAUACUACAUUUCUCCCUGCCUGCCCUCCUGGAAAACCUGCACCCAAGGCUCACCGGACCAGCCUCCCUCUCCCUCCCUAAGGAUUGACUCCUCUCUCACGACUCUUCUUCAGAUUACUGCCUCAUUCUCCUCCCAGCGGAAACCAAGAAAUUCUGUUUGUUACUCCGUUGUCUGUAAAUAAAGAAACUGAAUCUGCCAUUGUUGUCGAGUGCUGUCUGCCCUUGAGUCCUCCCUUUUUACUCAGUGGCCUUGGCCCCCUUACAGUUCUGUCCCUGGCUCAUCACAUCCACAUUCAAAACACAAAGAUAAUAAAGUUCAGCUCAAAGCUUCACACAUUCAUC